GCAAGUCGAGCGGUAACAGAAAUUAGCUUGCUAAUUUGCUGACGAGCGGCGGACGGGUGAGUAAUGCUUGGGAAUAUGCCUUUGAGUGGGGGACAACAGUUGGAAACGACUGCUAAUACCGCAUAAUGUCUACGGACCAAAGGGGGCUUCGGCUCUCGCCUUUAGAUUGGCCCAAGUGGGAUUAGCUAGUUGGUGAGGUAAUGGCUCACCAAGGCAACGAUCCCUAGCUGGUUUGAGAGGAUGAUC
Molecule: ribosomal RNA, 246 nt
Filed under: uncultured bacterium
Lineage: Bacteria
Description: partial 16S ribosomal RNA
Rfam family: Bacterial small subunit ribosomal RNA
Source: RNAcentral